GACGAACGCUGGCGGCGUGCCUAAUACAUGCAAGUAGAACGCUGAAGCUUGGUGCUUGCACCGAGCGGAUGAGUUGCGAACGGGUGAGUGACGCGUAGGUAACCUGCCUGGUAGCGGGGGAUAACUAUUGGAAACGAUAGCUAAUACCGCAUAAGAGUAGAUGUUGCAUGACAUUUGCUUAAAAGGUGCAAUUGCAUCACUACCAGAUGGACCUGCGUUGUAUUAGCUAGUUGGUGAGGUAACGGCUCACCAAGGCAACGAUACAUAGCCGACCUGAGAGGGUGAUCGGCCACACUGGGACUGAGACACGGCCCAGACUCCUACGGGAGGCAGCAGUAGGGAAUCUUCGGCAAUGGACGGAAGUCUGACCGAGCAACGCCGCGUGAGUGAAGAAGGGUUUCGGAUCGUAAAGCUCUGUUGUAAGAGAAGAACGAGUGUGAGAGUGGAAAGUUCACACUGUGACGGUAUCUUACCAGAAAGGGACGGCUAACUACGUG
Molecule: ribosomal RNA, 497 nt
Filed under: uncultured bacterium
Lineage: Bacteria
Description: partial 16S ribosomal RNA
Rfam family: Bacterial small subunit ribosomal RNA
Source: RNAcentral